GUGAGCCUUGUGAUGGGAAACCUUCCUGCACGGUUCGGAGCGCACUGAAUUGGAAUGAGGGGUUCAUCACCAUAU
RNAcentral lists this non-coding RNA (75 nucleotides) under Olea europaea subsp. europaea. Lineage: Eukaryota; Viridiplantae; Streptophyta; Magnoliopsida; Lamiales; Oleaceae. The record is from RNAcentral.